RNAcentral lists this ribosomal RNA (427 nucleotides) under uncultured bacterium. RNAcentral's name for it is "partial 16S ribosomal RNA". It matches the Rfam family "Bacterial small subunit ribosomal RNA", at positions 355 to 774 of the family's 1533-position model. The record is from RNAcentral.
UGGGGAAUAUUGGACAAUGGGCGAAAGCCUGAUCCAGCCAUGCCGCGUGUGUGAAGAAGGUCUUCGGAUUGUAAAGCACUUUAAGUUGGGAGGAAGGGCAUUAACCUAAUACGUUAGUGUUUUGACGUUACCGACAGAAUAAGCACCGGCUAACUCUGUGCCAGCAGCCGCGGUAAUACAGAGGGUGCAAGCGUUAAUCGGGAUUACUGGGCGUAAAGCGCGCGUAGGUGGUUUGUUAAGUUGGAUGUGAAAUCCCCGGGCUCAACCUGGGAACUGCAUUCAAAACUGACUGACUAGAGUAUGGUAGAGGGUGGUGGAAUUUCCUGUGUAGCGGUGAAAUGCGUAGAUAUAGGAAGGAACACCAGUGGCGAAGGCGACCACCUGGACUAAUACUGACACUGAGGUGCGAAAGCGUGGGGAGCAAACA